This is a microRNA precursor of Gallus gallus (chicken), 114 nucleotides long. Ensembl annotates it as gga-mir-6579-2. NCBI's taxonomy places the organism in Eukaryota, Metazoa, Chordata, Aves, Galliformes, Phasianidae. The record is from Ensembl.
GCCGUGAGGAGAGGUGAGCGCCGUGCAACGCCGUGCAACGCACCUGCGCGGAACCAGAGGCAUUUCACAGCGUAACACGGCGUGCCUGUUUACACUGCGUUCCUCAGCGCCUCA